RNAcentral lists this non-coding RNA (184 nucleotides) under unclassified sequences. RNAcentral's name for it is "malK-I RNA". It matches the Rfam family "malK-I RNA". The record is from RNAcentral.
UUUCCACGGCCCCGGCCACUCCACAUCAAUGGCCGGACAAGCUGUGAAAAAAAGGAGGAUAAAACCGGCCCGGACUCGGGCUGCGGCAGAGUGGAGACCUGUCGCAACGCGGAGCAGCCUGAAGCGGCUGACCGCGAGCACACAGCAAGCGGAGGCUCUGUGUGCAGAGUCGAGAAACAUGGCA